GUACUAACUUCAGCAGCACAUAUACUAAUUGGAAUGAUACGAGAAGAUUUGCAUGGCUCCUGGGCAAGGAUGACAUGCAAAUUCGUGAAAUAUCUAUCCUUUUG
This is a small nuclear RNA of Leptonychotes weddellii (Weddell seal), 104 nucleotides long. Lineage: Eukaryota; Metazoa; Chordata; Mammalia; Carnivora; Phocidae. The record is from RefSeq and is a predicted model, not a curated record.